RNAcentral lists this ribosomal RNA (478 nucleotides) under uncultured bacterium. RNAcentral describes it as "partial 16S ribosomal RNA". It matches the Rfam family "Bacterial small subunit ribosomal RNA", at positions 28 to 523 of the family's 1533-position model. The record is from RNAcentral.
GACGAACGCUGGCGGCGUGCUUAACACAUGCAAGUCGAACGGUAAGGCCCUUCGGGGUACACGAGUGGCGAGCGGGUGAGUAACACGUGGGUGAUCUGCCCUGCACUUCGGGAUAAGCCUGGGAAACUGGGUCUAAUACCGGAUAGGACCACUGCCUGCAUGGGUGGUGGUGGAAAGCUUUUGCGGUGUGGGAUGGGCCGGCGGCCUAUCAGCUUGUUGGUGGGGUGAUGGCCUACCAAGGCGACGACGGGUAGCCGGCCUGAGAGGGUGACCGGCCACACUGGGACUGAGAUACGGCCCAGACUCCUACGGGAGGCAGCAGUGGGGAAUAUUGCACAAUGGGCGCAAGCCUGAUGCAGCGACGCCGCGUGAGGGAUGACGGCCUUCGGGUUGUAAACCUCUUUCAGCACCGACGAAGCGCAAGUGACGGUAGGUGCAGAAGAAGGACCGGCCAACUACGUGCCAGCAGCCGCAGUAA